UGGGGAAUAUUGCACAAUGGGGGAAACCCUGAUGCAGCGACGCCGCGUGAACGAAGAAGGUAUUCGUAUCGUAAAGUUCUGUCCUAUGGGAAGAUAAUGACAGUACCAUAGAAGAAAGCUCCGGCUAAAUACGUGCCAUCAGCCGCGGUAAUACGUAUGGAGCGAGCGUUGUCCGGAAUUAUUGGGCGUAAAGGGUACGCAGGCGGUUUAAUAAGUCGAAUGUUAAAGAUCGGGGCUCAACCCCGUAAAGCAUUGGAAACUGAUAAACUUGAGUAGUGGAGAGGAAAGUGGAAUUCCUAGUGUAGUGGUGAAAUACGUAGAUAUUAGGAGGAAUACCAGUAGCGAAGGCGACUUUCUGGACACAAACUGACGCUGAGGUACGAAAGCGUGGGGAGCAAACAGG
Molecule: ribosomal RNA, 403 nt
Filed under: bacterium
Lineage: Bacteria
Description: partial 16S ribosomal RNA
Rfam family: Bacterial small subunit ribosomal RNA
Source: RNAcentral